AUACGGAGGGUGCAAGCGUUAUUCGGAAUCACUGGGCGUAAAGGACGCGUAGGCGGGUUGGCAAGUCAGAUGUGAAAUCCUACAGCUUAACUGUAGAACUGCAUUUGAAACUGCUAACCUAGAGUGUGGGAGGGGGAGAUGGAAUUAGUGGUGUAGGGGUAAAAUCCGUAGAUAUCACUAGGAAUACCGAAAGCGAAGGCGAUCUCCUGGAACAUAACUGACGCUAAGGCGUGAAAGCGUGGGGAGCAAACAGGAUUAGAUACCCUGGUAGUCC
RNAcentral lists this ribosomal RNA (274 nucleotides) under uncultured bacterium. RNAcentral describes it as "partial 16S ribosomal RNA". It matches the Rfam family "Bacterial small subunit ribosomal RNA", at positions 523 to 796 of the family's 1533-position model. The record is from RNAcentral.